AAUGAUCAAUUAAGUUGGUAGCGAAUGACUCCUUCAAUUUCCGAAAAUACCCGAACACAAACAAAAAAAAUGAGCUUCAAUAUUGUAAGUGUAUGUUUGGUUGCCUACUUUAGAGAUGUUUAAUCAAGUGGAAUACAGAAAAACCACUAAACGUCCACUCAAAUAUGGCAUUUCAAGAGAGGUAGGAAUUGAAAGCAACUUUUAUACUAUGGUGAUGAUGGUAGUAGGUAGGAUGGUGUCUUAAACUAGUGAUGUGAAAUGAAAGCCUUACGUCCUCUUGUCACUAUUUGUCAGGAGAUGGCGUUACGUUUGCACUUAUAUAUUAUAAUUUUUACCACGUUUUUACUUUUUUACAAUUAUUUUAAGAGGUUUAGAUGUACAGGCUGGUACAUUAGAAACUUUUAAUAUAGCUAGAGCUUCAAGAUUUUGUAUACAAUCUAAGUCGACCAUUCUGAGUUCAACAAAAUUAUUUUCAAAAUGGCUGAAUUUUUGGAACUACGGGAAAUUGGCCCCAACUUUAAAAUUUUAAAUAGUAACUAUUUAUUUUUAUUGCAUUAUUAAACUGAGUAAAAUGUAUUUUAAUUGCCAAAACUUAUCUAUCAUAGUUUUUGACGUAUGUCAAUUUUUUUCAUUGUAAGGGUCCAUUUAAAAUAUUACAUCGCGUGAACUCUUUAUAAUAAGUUAAUAAUUCUUUUUGCAUUUGAUAGCCAAAGGUUCAAGAGGUCUUCUCAAAUUUUCAGGAUUGUCAACUAUCAAUUUGCAAGGCUACUCUGAUUAAAAAGAAAAUGUUGGUUAAAAAAUUAUUACAAAACAGUUUUUCCAAAUGGAAUGACCCUGUCUUUUCAAUGGCAAUCAAUUUUUAUGCAAACUUUUAUUAACAUCUUCUAUAUCUAUCUCCUACAGUUUUUUAAAUAAUCGCAAAAAACAAAAAUUUGCUCAUUAUUUUCAUUUUUAAUCAAGUAAACUUUCGAAAAAUACGAUAAAAUUGUGCUAUUAAUUAAAAAAAUGUCGUAUUUGUUCAUCAUUUUCAUUCAAGAAGUUCAAAAUUCGAUGACAGACUGAUUGAAUUACUUUACAUAAUUCACUAAGUUAUAAUAAACUAUAAUUAAAUAUUUUUGUUUUAUUGCUUAUUUGAUAAUGAACCAGCUAAAAACUAAAUAAAAUAUUGAAGAUUCACAAUUGUUGAUGUAUUUUACAAGGUCUACUUGAUUAACCAUGAAAAUUACGAAGUAAAAUCCGUUUUUUGUGAUUUUUUUCAAAAACUGUAAGAGAUAUGUAUAGGACGUAUUGUUAAAAGUCACCAUAAAUAUAGAUAUUCUUUCGAUUGCCGUUAAGAAAAUAGGGUCUUCCAUUUGAAUAAACUGAGUUAUAGCCGAUUUUUGAUAACCAUUUUGAAAAAAUCACACUAGCCAUGAAUUUUGACACUUGACAAUUUCGAAAAUUCUAGAAAAUUCUUCAAACCUUCAGUUAUCUUAUACAAAAAAAAAAUAUUCACUUGUCGCAAAGGGUUUAGUGGAUGUGAUCUCUUAGAUAAACGCUUGCAAAUGAAAAUUUUUACAAAAAAAUUGACGUAUGUCAAAAAGUAUGACAGAUAAGUACCAACAACAUGGGUAAAUUUUACUCAGCUUGAAAAGGGGAAUUCAAAUAUGUAAUAAAAAUGUGUGGUUACUAUUUAAAAUUUCAAACUUGGCGCCAUUUUUUUGUAGUUUCGGAAGUUCAACCAUUUUGAAAAUAA
Molecule: long non-coding RNA, 1735 nt
Organism: Tribolium castaneum (red flour beetle)
Lineage: Eukaryota; Metazoa; Arthropoda; Insecta; Coleoptera; Tenebrionidae
Exons: 2
Source: RefSeq, a predicted model, not a curated record